CAUCUUGUGCUAUUUUAUGUUCUGAGAAGGAUUGAUUACCACAAAGAUAGAUCUAUAGAGAAUGUGAGUGGAAACUACACGAGCUGCUAAUGGGACAAGGCAUUUAAGAAUCAUCCAAGUUCUUUCUCUUCUUGCUGGCUGGAGCUAAGAAUUGAAGAACAAAUACCAUCAAAGAGAUUCAAUACAAAUGUCCAAUUUUGAGAUAAGGGAUGGAUAACCAUAGUGCAUGCCCUCAGACCUUUUAAUCUUUAUGAAACAUUUGAAGACCUCGGGAAAGGACAAUACCCCUGGUUCUAUACAGAUGCUGUCAUGAAUUCAUCUUAUAUCAGUUUCAUAAUCCAUGUAGUCAAAUACCAUUGAGGAUAGUUGAGUGGUCACUAUGUUGUAAUAUCAGACAAAGAUGACAGUGAAUCUGCAAAAGAAGAAAGCAUUCUGAGAACCACUGAUUCCAGAGCAGGUGAAGGAAAUUUGAAAAUAUAUGAAGAAAGAGACAAACAUUGGAGUUAUGCUGCCACCAACCAAGGAACAUCUGGGGCUACAAAAAGCUGGAAGAGGGAAGGAUGGACCUUUCUCUACAAGUUUCAGAAGGAGCACGGCCCAGUUCACACCUUGAUUUCAGAUUUCUAGCCUUCAGAACUGUGAGACAAUAUAUUUCUGUUGUUGAAAGCCACUCCAUUUGUGGUAUUUUGUUAUGGCCCUGGAAAAUUAAUACAAUAGAUAUUAAGGUGAGAAAAAUAGUUUCAUUGUCAAAAUAAUUUCUCCACCGCAAGUUCAUACUUUUAAAUGCAGCUAAAUAAAAAUGAAGAACAUCUCAGCGACUUUACUAUAUUAAUGGCUAUUUUGAUUCUCCUAGAGGAGAACUAUAACAUAAAAUAUUUUCAUUUCUUAAUUAGUUUUUGUUUGUUAGUUUUUGUUUUUUUAGAUACAGGGCAUUGUCUUGUUGCCCCAGAUGGAAGGUAAUGGUGCAGUCAUGUGCAAUCACACCUCACUGCAGCCUCAACUUUCUGGGAUCCAGUGAUCCUCCUGCCUCAGCCUCCCAUGUAGCUGGGUACACAGAUUUGCACCACAGCACCAGGCUAAUACAAAAAUAUUGUUAGUGGAACAAAACAUCUUCCAUACUGGUCAUGUCACAUAACUACUACUCAAUGGAAGCUAAUUUGGGAAAUGCAGAAUGUCAAAAUUAAAAUAAUUACCAUAAUACCUAGAAAAUUUAAAGCAGCUUCUUAUUUUCCUCCAGGCAAAG
RNAcentral lists this long non-coding RNA (1243 nucleotides) under Pongo abelii (Sumatran orangutan). RNAcentral describes it as "lincRNA". The record is from RNAcentral. Lineage: Eukaryota; Metazoa; Chordata; Mammalia; Primates; Hominidae.